GAUAUCAACUGAAAAAGUCAUCAACAACAAAUUUGAAUAACUCAUCAAGAUCUAAAACUUUUAUUUUGGUCAUUUCUUUAUACAACAAAGUGAUAGUAACAUUAUUCACAAAAUUGACAUAUCUCUUAUCUGGUUUUAUAAACUAUAACACAUAUAUGUAAAAUUUGUGAAUAAUGUUAUUAACAUUUUGUCAGAUGAAGAAAUAACAAAAAUAAAAGUUUUAGAUCUUGAUGAGUUAUUCAACUUUGUUGUUGAUGACUUUUUCAAUUGAAAUC
Oryza barthii is the source of this 275-nucleotide non-coding RNA. The record is from Rfam. Lineage: Eukaryota; Viridiplantae; Streptophyta; Magnoliopsida; Poales; Poaceae.